RNAcentral lists this ribosomal RNA (452 nucleotides) under Pinnularia borealis complex sp. RNAcentral describes it as "partial 28S ribosomal RNA". Lineage: Eukaryota; Bacillariophyta; Bacillariophyceae; Sellaphorales; Pinnulariaceae. The record is from RNAcentral.
GCGACUGAAAUGUCACGAGCUCAGCAUGUGAAUCAGCGUUUGCUCUAGUGAGCGCUGAAUUGUGGUCUUACGGUUGUUGCGCCAAUUCGUCCAGACCAUGUUUUUUGGAAUAAAAUAGCACAGAGGGUGAAACUCCCGUUUGUCUGGUCACACGAAGCAARAACYACUGAGUCGAGUUGUUUGGGAUUGCAGCUCAAAUGCGGUGGUAAAUUCCAUCUCAAGCUAAAUAUUGGUAGGAAACCGAUAGCGAACAAGUACCGUGAGGGAAAGAUGCAAAGAACUUUGAAAAGAGAGUGAAAGAGUACCUGAAAUUGCUGAAAAGGAAGCGAACGAAGCUAGUGAACGCUCUGUCAUACUUUCCUACUUGCUUGCAAGUCGGACGCUGUGGCGAGCCCUGUUCGAUUUGAUUGCUCCAUGUGAAAGCAGGCAAAGAAAAGACACCCAUUCUCUUU